UCCUACGGGCGGCUGCAGUCGAGAAUCUUCGGCAAUGGGCGCAAGCCUGACCGAGCGACGCCGCGUGCGGGAUGAAGGCCCUUGGGUUGUAAACCGCUGUCAGAGGGGAUGAAGUGCGGGUGGGUUCUCCCAUCCGUUUGACAUAGCCUCAGAGGAAGCACGGGCUAAGUUCGUGCCAGCAGCCGCGGUAAUACGAACUGUGCAAACGUUAUUCGGAAUCACUGGGCUUAAAGGGUGCGUAGGCGGCUCAAUAAGUAGGGUGUGAAAGCCCCCGGCUUAACCGGGGAAUGGCGCUCUAAACUGUUGAGCUGGAGUGAGAUAGGGGUGUGUGGAACUUCCGGUGGAGCGGUGAAAUGUGUUGAUAUCGGAAGGAACGCCGGUGGCGAAAGCGACACACUGGGUCUCAACUGACGCUGAGGCACGAAAGCCAGGGGAGCAAACGGGAUUAGAUACCCUAGUAGUCCC
RNAcentral lists this ribosomal RNA (465 nucleotides) under uncultured Planctomyces sp. Its description in RNAcentral is "bacterial SSU rRNA". It matches the Rfam family "Bacterial small subunit ribosomal RNA", at positions 337 to 797 of the family's 1533-position model. Lineage: Bacteria; Pseudomonadati; Planctomycetota; Planctomycetia; Planctomycetales; Planctomycetaceae. The record is from RNAcentral.